CGAAGAAUUGGUUAUGAGAUUAUAAGACUCAGAUUCCUGGUCUUGGUGAUUCAUUGAAUCCUAUAAUUCUACAAAUAGGUAUCGCGGGAGCUUAUAGAUUUUAGAAUUAGAAGCAUCAAAAUGACCUAUCUCAUAAAAUUGGAAUUCGAAUUCUGGGAAUCAUUAAUGGAAUUUGAGAUUGAAACAAUGAUUAUCACAAAAUAAAUAGAAAUUGCCAAGAGGAUUCUCGGUUGAUGUGAAAGAUUAGGGUUUUUGAUUUGUAAUUUGAGAGGCUUUCAUUGAAGAUUGGUGGUGGCAGAGAUUUAGUGAAGUUGAACGGUUUAAGAAUGGAAAGCACAGACCUGGUCAACGGAGUUGCAGGAGAAAAAAAUAGCAUCUUCUUAACUAAUAACGGUGAUGUAACGCGAAAUCAUCCCAGAGGAACCCUUCGUCUUCUGUGCGCUUCUCUCACAAUAAUC
This 458-nucleotide unclassified non-coding RNA is filed under the name Hevea brasiliensis (rubber tree). Lineage: Eukaryota; Viridiplantae; Streptophyta; Magnoliopsida; Malpighiales; Euphorbiaceae. The record is from RNAcentral.